Non-coding RNA from Ornithorhynchus anatinus (platypus), 72 nucleotides. NCBI's taxonomy places the organism in Eukaryota, Metazoa, Chordata, Mammalia, Monotremata, Ornithorhynchidae. The record is from Rfam.
AGCAGCGUGGCUCAGUGGAAAGAACCUGGGCUUGGGAGUCAGAGGUCAUGGGUUCGAAUCCCAGCUCUGCCA